GUACUAAGGUAGCAUAAUCACUUGCCUCUUAAUUAGAGGAUAGUAUGAAAGAAAUAACGAGUUAUUAAUACCUCCAUAUACAAAACAAAUAACCUAAUCUAAAGGUAAAAAAUCCUUAAAACCAAAGAAAGACGACAAGACCCUGUCGAACUUAUACAAAAAUGAUAAGCUGGGGCAGCUUAAAAAUAAAACCUUAAUAUUAUAUAAAUAAUAAAACUAUUAAAAAUAAAAUAAACAAAAGUUACCGCAGGGAUAACAGCACAAUUAUUUACUGGAGCACAAAUCCAAUAAAUACAUUAUGACCUCGAUGUUGAAUUAUCCUACUUAAAUAAGAAAAUAUAUUAAAAGAAGGUCUGUUCGACCAUAAUAUGAUACAUGAU
Molecule: ribosomal RNA, 380 nt
Filed under: Scytodes sp. 46 YFL-2022a
Lineage: Eukaryota; Metazoa; Arthropoda; Arachnida; Araneae; Scytodidae
Description: partial large subunit ribosomal RNA
Rfam family: Archaeal large subunit ribosomal RNA
Source: RNAcentral